Molecule: small nuclear RNA, 134 nt
Filed under: Otolemur garnettii (small-eared galago)
Lineage: Eukaryota; Metazoa; Chordata; Mammalia; Primates; Galagidae
Description: U4 spliceosomal RNA
Rfam family: U4 spliceosomal RNA
About the family: U4 small nuclear RNA (U4 snRNA) is a component of the major U2-dependent spliceosome. The structure of U4 snRNA from yeast and human has been reported.
Source: Rfam by way of RNAcentral
AGCUUUGAGCAGUGGCAGUAUCACGGCCAAUGAGGUUAUCCGAGGUGUGAGUUUGCUAAUUGAAAGGAUAUACUGAAUUCUUAAGCUAAAAAUAGACUGAUCUGAAAAAAUAAGUUCUUAGAAAUAAAGAUUUA